This 367-nucleotide unclassified non-coding RNA is filed under the name soil metagenome. Its description in RNAcentral is "partial contains 5.8S ribosomal RNA, internal transcribed spacer 2, and large subunit ribosomal RNA". The stretch from base 1 to 122 matches the Rfam family "5.8S ribosomal RNA", at positions 35 to 154 of the family's 154-position model. The record is from RNAcentral.
GAUGAAGAACGUAGCGAAAUGCGAUACUUGGUGUGAAUUGCAGAAUCCCGUGAACCAUCGAGUUUUUGAACGCAAGUUGCGCCCGAAGCCGUUAGGCCGAGGGCACGCCUGCCUGGGUGUCACACAUCGUUGCCCCAAUGCCAAUCACCUCACUUUGUAGGUAUUUGCUUGGGGUGAAUGUUGGCCUCCCGUGAGCUUUGUCUCACGGUUGGUUGAAAAUCGAGUGCAUGGUGUCGGGUGUACCAUGAUGGAUGGUGGUUGAGUGAUGAUGCUCGGUGACCCACAUGCGUCCCUUGGAUGCUCCCUAAGGAGACCUCAGGUCAGGCGGGGCUACCCACUGAGUUUAAGCAUAUCAAUAAGCGGAGGA